Non-coding RNA from Albula glossodonta (roundjaw bonefish), 70 nucleotides. The record is from the annotation of a GenBank genome assembly. Lineage: Eukaryota; Metazoa; Chordata; Actinopteri; Albuliformes; Albulidae.
AGGCCUGUAGUCUAGCGGUUAAGGUACAUGACUGGGACCCCUGAGAUUGGCCGUUCGAACCCCAGUUUUG